CAGCAGCCACGGUAAUGCGUAGGGUGCAAGCGUUAAUCGGAAUUACUGGGCGUAAAGCGUGCGCAGGCGGUUAUAUAAGUCAGAUGUGAAAUCCCCGGGCUCAACCUGGGAACUGCAUUUGAGACUGUAUGGCUAGAGUAUGGCAGAGGGGGGUGGAAUUCCACGUGUAGCAGUGAAAUGCGUAGAGAUGUGGAGGAACACCGAUGGCGAAGGCAGCCCCCUGGGCCAAUACUGACGCUCAUGCACGAAAGCGUGGGGAACAAACAGGAUUAGAGACCCGCGUAGUCCCUGUCUCUUAUAA
RNAcentral lists this ribosomal RNA (301 nucleotides) under uncultured bacterium. Its description in RNAcentral is "partial 16S ribosomal RNA". It matches the Rfam family "Bacterial small subunit ribosomal RNA", at positions 509 to 809 of the family's 1533-position model. The record is from RNAcentral.